RNAcentral lists this ribosomal RNA (1326 nucleotides) under Escherichia coli. Its description in RNAcentral is "partial 23S ribosomal RNA". It matches the Rfam family "Bacterial large subunit ribosomal RNA", at positions 419 to 1747 of the family's 2925-position model. The record is from RNAcentral. Lineage: Bacteria; Pseudomonadati; Pseudomonadota; Gammaproteobacteria; Enterobacterales; Enterobacteriaceae.
GGGACACGUGGUAUCCUGUCUGAAUAUGGGGGGACCAUCCUCCAAGGCUAAAUACUCCUGACUGACCGAUAGUGAACCAGUACCGUGAGGGAAAGGCGAAAAGAACCCCGGCGAGGGGAGUGAAAAAGAACCUGAAACCGUGUACGUACAAGCAGUGGGAGCACGCUUAGGCGUGUGACUGCGUACCUUUUGUAUAAUGGGUCAGCGACUUAUAUUCUGUAGCAAGGUUAACCGAAUAGGGGAGCCGAAGGGAAACCGAGUCUUAACUGGGCGUUAAGUUGCAGGGUAUAGACCCGAAACCCGGUGAUCUAGCCAUGGGCAGGUUGAAGGUUGGGUAACACUAACUGGAGGACCGAACCGACUAAUGUUGAAAAAUUAGCGGAUGACUUGUGGCUGGGGGUGAAAGGCCAAUCAAACCGGGAGAUAGCUGGUUCUCCCCGAAAGCUAUUUAGGUAGCGCCUCGUGAAUUCAUCUCCGGGGGUAGAGCACUGUUUCGGCAAGGGGGUCAUCCCGACUUACCAACCCGAUGCAAACUGCGAAUACCGGAGAAUGUUAUCACGGGAGACACACGGCGGGUGCUAACGUCCGUCGUGAAGAGGGAAACAACCCAGACCGCCAGCUAAGGUCCCAAAGUCAUGGUUAAGUGGGAAACGAUGUGGGAAGGCCCAGACAGCCAGGAUGUUGGCUUAGAAGCAGCCAUCAUUUAAAGAAAGCGUAAUAGCUCACUGGUCGAGUCGGCCUGCGCGGAAGAUGUAACGGGGCUAAACCAUGCACCGAAGCUGCGGCAGCGACGCUGAUGCGUUGUUGGGUAGGGGAGCGUUCUGUAAGCCUGCGAAGGUGUGCUGUGAGGCAUGCUGGAGGUAUCAGAAGUGCGAAUGCUGACAUAAGUAACGAUAAAGCGGGUGAAAAGCCCGCUCGCCGGAAGACCAAGGGUUCCUGUCCAACGUUAAUCGGGGCAGGGUGAGUCGACCCCUAAGGCGAGGCCGAAAGGCGUAGUCGAUGGGAAACAGGUUAAUAUUCCUGUACUUGGUGUUACUGCGAAGGGGGGACGGAGAAGGCUAUGUUGGCCGGGCGACGGUUGUCCCGGUUUAAGCGUGUAGGCUGGUUUUCCAGGCAAAUCCGGAAAAUCAAGGCUGAGGCGUGAUGACGAGGCACUACGGUGCUGAAGCAACAAAUGCCCUGCUUCCAGGAAAAGCCUCUAAGCAUCAGGUAACAUCAAAUCGUACCCCAAACCGACACAGGUGGUCAGGUAGAGAAUACCAAGGCGCUUGAGAGAACUCGGGUGAAGGAACUAGGCAAAAUGGUGCCGUAACUUCGGGAGAAGGC